Molecule: long non-coding RNA, 1365 nt
Organism: Photinus pyralis (common eastern firefly)
Lineage: Eukaryota; Metazoa; Arthropoda; Insecta; Coleoptera; Lampyridae
Exons: 3
Source: RefSeq, a predicted model, not a curated record
UUCAAAAUAUAGCUUUGGUAAUAAAUGAUUUCAUUCAUUUUCAUGCCAGUAGUUAUCUGUUACUCUGAGACCCUGAGAACAAUGUCGUAUCGCAGUUACCUAAGCCGCCCGAUGUUCGCGUAUUGUUGAAACAACCUUUAAAAAACCAGUAUGGGAGAGGUUUAGACUUUUACAACCCCAUUUGAAGGAUUACCUAAUCCACAAAUGAAUGGUGACAGUUGGUUAAAACACAAUUCAAAAACCGCAAGUAGUUAUAAAAUGGGCUGAAGUAUGGCCACAAAGUUCUGCGUUUUCCGACUUACCAUUGAGGUUUCAAUCCCAUUGAACUGGCAUCGAACAAGUUUUAUCAUUCUUUAGGUACAUCGAUGUCAUUUAAACAUGGAAGAGUGCAUUAACUGAAAUAACUCCAGACGUAUGGAAUCACUGUGUAACACACCAAGAAGAAACAAUCAAGAAUGCAUUCAAGUAUGAGAAAAUUGUGGACGAUGUACGGCCUUCAGUAUGGAAUAAUGUGUCUUGUCUGCGGGUUUAUCUAGUACCUAAUUUUCCUCUCGCAGCGGUAUCUGGUGAGACUAAAGAGAACCGAUAUGGUUAUGUUUCUGUUUUCCACUAAACUGGUAUUUUCAGUCCACGUUAAACUUUUUUACCUGUUUAAUUAGGAAAUUUGUAUCAUCUGCAUAACAUACUAUAUUAACAUUUCGACUGGACAUAUAACUAGCUAAAUCAUUGGAGUAGAUCACAUACAACAGGAGCCCCAACACAGAUCCCUGAGGAACUCCUUGCGUUACACAGCGCAAAUCGCUGAAUGCGGUAUUAAGCUUCACUAUUUGAUGGCGUUCUGUAAUCCAGAGCGCAUGACUAACGAAGUUCUUCAGUCUGUUUUUUCGUCUAACUCGAAAACAACACCAACAAAAACCUUCACCAAUAAAUUUCUACGAGUUCAAGGAUCAGUGCUAUUGAUUAUGAUCGAGCCGUGUUUCCGAAUACGAGUUGAGUAUCAAGAAAUUCCCCUACUGAAAAGCGUAUGCGAAUCUUCGUAUCUUGUUACAGGUACGGCUAGCUCCAUUGGUUCAAUCACUUUACCUUACGACUCCCAAAAGAUUAAAUUAUGGAUCUUUACCCGAAGGCUGAGGUCAUUUAACCAUUCUGGCUUCUUUACACAGCAAGCCACUGCUCAAUCAGGUUGACAAUAAAAAAUCAAGUAAACGGUUGAACUGUAUACUAAGUGUAAAAUUUUCGUUUACCCUUAUUGGAAUAAUUUAGGGGUUCCUAGCGGUUAACUAAAUUGAUUUGAUACAAGAAAAUUAAAUCUAAAAAAUUCUACGGCACCCCUUCUAACUUUUUCAGUCCUAAUCAGGGGUUGGA